AUUGAACGCUGGCGGCAUGCUUUACACAUGCAAGUCGAACGGUAACAGGCCUUCGGGUGCUGACGAGUGGCGAACGGGUGAGUAAUGCAUCGGAACGUGCCCAAUCGUGGGGGAUAACGUAGCGAAAGUUACGCUAAUACCGCAUAAGCCCUGAGGGGGAAAGUGGGGGACCGCAAGGCCUCACGCGAAUGGAGCGGCCGAUGUCAGAUUAGCUAGUUGGUGGGGUAAAGGCCCACCAAGGCGACGAUCUGUAGCGGGUCUGAGAGGAUGAUCCGCCACACUGGGACUGAGACACGGCCCAGACUCCUACGGGAGGCAGCAGUGGGGAAUUUUGGACAAUGGGCGCAAGCCUGAUCCAGCCAUGCCGCGUGCGGGACGAAGGCCUCGGUUGUAA
This 394-nucleotide ribosomal RNA is filed under the name uncultured bacterium. Its description in RNAcentral is "bacterial SSU rRNA". It matches the Rfam family "Bacterial small subunit ribosomal RNA", at positions 29 to 428 of the family's 1533-position model. The record is from RNAcentral.